AUACGGAGGGCGCAAGCGUUGUUCGGAAUCAUUGGGCGUAAAGCGCGCGUAGGCGGCUUGGCAAGUCGGGUGUGAAAUCCCGAGGCUCAACCUCGGAACUGCACUCGAAACUGCCUGGCUAGAGUCUCGGAGAGGAAGGCGGAAUUCCCGGUGUAGAGGUGAAAUUCGUAGAUAUCGGGAGGAACACCAGUGGCGAAGGCGGCCUUCUGGACGAUGACUGACGCUGAGGUGCGAAAGCGUGGGGAGCAAACAGGAUUAGAAACCCCGGUAGUCC
RNAcentral lists this ribosomal RNA (274 nucleotides) under uncultured bacterium. RNAcentral describes it as "partial 16S ribosomal RNA". It matches the Rfam family "Bacterial small subunit ribosomal RNA", at positions 523 to 796 of the family's 1533-position model. The record is from RNAcentral.